This 459-nucleotide ribosomal RNA is filed under the name uncultured bacterium. Its description in RNAcentral is "partial 16S ribosomal RNA". It matches the Rfam family "Bacterial small subunit ribosomal RNA", at positions 338 to 795 of the family's 1533-position model. The record is from RNAcentral.
CCUACGGGAGGCAGCAGUGAGGAAUAUUGGUCAAUGGGCGGGAGCCUGAACCAGCCAAGUCGCGUGAAGGAAGAAGGUACUUAGUAUUGUAAACUUCUUUUAUCAGGGAACAAAGAAUGCGACGCGUAGCCGGAUGCGUGUACCCGAUGAAUAAGCAUCGGCUAACUCCGUGCCAGCAGCCGCGGUAAUACGGAGGAUGCGAGCGUUAUCCGGAUUUAUUGGGUUUAAAGGGUGCGAAGGCGGGAUAUGAAGUCAGUGGUAAAACGUCGGGGCUCAACCUCGAUCGGCCGAUAAAACUGGAGUUCUAGAGUAGAGGAGAGGUAGGCGGAAUACGUGGUGUAGCGGUGAAAUGCAUAGAUAUCACGAAGAACCCCGAUAGCGAAGGCAGCUUACCGGACUCUUACUGACGCUGAGGCACGAGAGCGUGGGGAGCGAACAGGAUUAGAUACCCCAGUAGUC